UUUAUGUAUAGAAUUUGGAACAGACAUGCCUCAUUGACCAAACAUUGACAAAGAUUUAACAACACAUACAUCACGAACGACAAUAAACCACUCACAUAAGAGACAAUAAACCACUCAAAUAAGAAAUCCAGUUAUAUCCGGAAGCUGGUAAAAUUUGUUUGAGGAAGGAGAGAGUAUAAUAAGCCUUGCAAUCAUCAAUUGAACAAGAAGGUCAAUGAGGACACCAAGCCUAACGUACUAGAAGACAAUGAAGGAUGACACCAUGCAAUUUAAAAAUACCUGUAUGUACAAUCAAAACUGGUGUAAACAUGCUGUUGGACAUGAAAUAAUAUACGUAAAUUCAUAUAAAAACAAAUAACUGGACUUAACAUUUGUUCCACUAUAAAUUUGACACACACUCUUGAUAUUCCAGUUUUGGACAACAAUGAUGCGACUGCUGUUUCUAACAUUUCUCCUGCUUUGUUUUGGGUUCUCAGUGGCACAGAGAGAUUGGGGAAGCAGAUGGCUCACAAGAAAUCGGAACAAUGACUGGAACAAUCGGAACAAUGGCUGGAACAAUAGGAACAAUGGCUGGAACAAUUGGAACAAUGACUGGAACAAUAGGAACAAUGACUGGAACAAUAGGAACAAUGACUGGAACAAUAGAAACAAUGACUGGAACAACAAUUGGAAUGGUGUAUUGAGGGGUUAGCAGAUUUCGACGGGCCAGUCCCUGAUUUAUAGCAACUACAUAUGCACUGAAUGUUUAUUACUAUGCCAAAAUUUUAGUGUUACCUGUAAUAAAUAAAUGACAAAUCUUCCAUUCGUACUAGAAAUGGUGGUAGGAUACAUGCAUGUAA
Molecule: long non-coding RNA, 839 nt
Organism: Ostrea edulis (European flat oyster)
Lineage: Eukaryota; Metazoa; Mollusca; Bivalvia; Ostreida; Ostreidae
Exons: 2
Source: RefSeq, a predicted model, not a curated record